RNAcentral lists this ribosomal RNA (467 nucleotides) under uncultured bacterium. RNAcentral's name for it is "partial 16S ribosomal RNA". It matches the Rfam family "Bacterial small subunit ribosomal RNA", at positions 28 to 507 of the family's 1533-position model. The record is from RNAcentral.
GAUGAACGCUGGCGGCGUGCUUAACACAUGCAAGUCGAACGGAAAGGCCCAAGCUUGCUUGGGUACUCGAGUGGCGAACGGGUGAGUAACACGUGGGUGAUCUGCCCUGCACUUCGGGAUAAGCCUGGGAAACUGGGUCUAAUACCGGAUAGGACCACUUCUUGGAUGUUGUGGUGGAAAGUUUUUUCGGUGUGGGAUGAGCUCGCGGCCUAUCAGCUUGUUGGUGGGGUAAUGGCCUACCAAGGCGUCGACGGGUAGCCGGCCUGAGAGGGUGUACGGCCACAUUGGGACUGAGAUACGGCCCAGACGCCUACGGGAGGCAGAAGUGGGGAAUAGUGCACAAGGGGCGCAAGCCUGAUGCAGCGACGCCGCGUGGGGGAUGACGGCCUUCGGGUUGUAAACUCAUUUCGCUAGGGACGAAGCGUUUUGUGACGGUACCUGGAGAAGAAGCACCGGCUAACUACGUG